AAUAAGUUGACAGAUUAAUGUAAUUGAUUUAGAAUCAAUAUAUGGUUAUUACCACUUAUUA
RNAcentral lists this transfer RNA (61 nucleotides) under Dinobdella ferox. Its description in RNAcentral is "tRNA-Leu". Lineage: Eukaryota; Metazoa; Annelida; Clitellata; Hirudinida; Hirudinidae. The record is from RNAcentral.